ACCGUGCGUCAGCGGCGCAGCGGCCCGGGGCGGCGGAGGCUCCCGGGCUCCCGCUGACUCAUCAGAAAGCCGUGCCGCGCGGCCCGGGCGGGGCGGCGGGAGAGGCCCGCGCGGGCGGCGGCCGAGGGCGUUUGAGGCGCGCCGAGCCGGAAAACCCCAAGGAGGCGGCGGUGGCGGCUGGGGGCUGGGCCGGCACAGUCGGGGGAGCGGGCACGGCUGGCAGCUGCCGGGGUCACCUGCGGCGCGGCCGGGCGACGGCGACAAAAGGAGGAAACAAGUCCCCCGCCCUAGCAGCCGGCCAGCGGGGGAAAGCUAUCCUGGGGCCGUAGACACCACGUGCCGGGUCACGGCCUGGCCCCAGCCCUUUCCUGUCACGGCCGGCUAACCACAAGGCCCCAUAGCACUCAGGAAGUGGAGCAGAGGGCCCAGGGAACUAUCAGGAAAGGGCAUGAGCAGAGAUGAUUCCUCUGUGUGACUGGCGACCCUGUCGUGGAACAGGGACAAAGUCUAUAGUAUUCAACAAAGAUUAGGAAACUGAGGCUGGACAGAGGUACCGCUGGGAUUCAACUGUUGCUGGAUCGGACUCCAUAAGUUCCUUCCUCAGUCCCGGAGGGAGGCCUGACCACCUACUGCGGACAGGACUGGUGACCUGGCCCGCCUCUCAGGCCAGACUCUCCUCGCUGCAGGGAGGCCCCGGGCGCGGCGGGGCAGAGGAGCAGGAAGAACGGUCUGGGCGCACACGCCGAGGCCAAGGGCGGGCCCCCGCGCCCAGGAGGAGCCCAUUUCCCUCCCUCCCUCCCCUGGGACCCCGGCGCUGGGGGAGGGGAGCGGCCGCAGCCCUCCCCAUCCGCCCCGGCCGCCAGGUGCCCAGAAACGCGGCCUCCCCCUCCCGCCCCCGCGCCUGUUCCCGGCGCAGCCCGCGGCUCGGCGGUCACGUCUCCCCAUCCGGCUCCAAAGUACGAGUCAGCGGCGGCCGGGCCAGCCCCGCGGAAGGGCGGCGCCGGGGAGGGGAGGUGGCCCGAGGGGCCGGGCCGCGCGCUCCGCCCCCUCCUCCCUCCGCGCGGCGCGGGUAGGUCUGCGAGGGGCUGGGCCCCCCCGCCGCGCCCGGGUCGGCCCUGGCCCACGGGGCGCGGCGCGGGCGAGGCCGCAGCGUCGGGGCCACCGCCCCUGCCGGCGCUCCGCGGGCGCGGGGCGGGCCGAGGGGAGGCUGGCUGGGGAAGCCGCGAGGCCGCGCCUCCCGAGAGGCGCGCGGGCCGGUGUUGCUGGGGAGAAAAGCGCCGCCGCGGCCCCGCCUGGAGGCCCUCUGCUCCAGGGCGCAGCGCACUCUGCUGGGGCGACCUCGGAACUGCAGGGAGACCCCACCCGCACCUACAGCGACGACCCGACGCCCCGACGCCCCGACGCCCCGACGCCGGAGGCCGAGAGCUCGACGCCGGAGGCCGAGAGCUCGGGUCUGGGCCGUAGAAAUUCCUGGUUAAUUAAAGAUCAUUAUUCCCCCCUUUGUUUUAAUUAAUUCAAAAAUGAGUCCUGAGCAUAGCAGGGAAAUUUGGGAAUGUGGAGAACCAAAAAAAAAAACCACUCAUAAUGCCUGUAUCCAGAAAGCAACGCUUAGAAUUUUAGUGCCUGCCCUUUCAGCGCUUCGUAUCUGCAAAUCUAUCUGUGUAUGCAUUCUUUGUAGAAUAAAAAAUACGAUAGUGUCGGCCCUG
RNAcentral lists this long non-coding RNA (1706 nucleotides) under Equus caballus (horse). RNAcentral's name for it is "lncRNA (ENSECAG00000027907.2)". Lineage: Eukaryota; Metazoa; Chordata; Mammalia; Perissodactyla; Equidae. The record is from RNAcentral.